RNAcentral lists this ribosomal RNA (472 nucleotides) under uncultured bacterium. RNAcentral describes it as "bacterial SSU rRNA". It matches the Rfam family "Bacterial small subunit ribosomal RNA", at positions 28 to 507 of the family's 1533-position model. The record is from RNAcentral.
GAUGAACGCUGGCGGCGUGCCUCAAACAUGCAAGUCGAGCGAGGCUAUGAGUUACCGCAAGGUAAGGCAUAGCCUAGCGGCGAACGGGUGAGUAACACGUGGGUAACCUACCUGGAAGACAGGGAUAACGAUUCGAAAGGGUCGCUAAUACCUGAUAAUAUCCAUCUGCCGGAUGGCGGAGGGAAGAAAGGGGAAACCCGCUUUCAGAUGGGCCCGCGUCCCAUUAGCUAGUUGGUGGGGUAAAGGCCUACCAAGGCGACGAUGGGUAGCCGGCCUGAGAGGGUGGACGGCCACACUGGGACUGAGACACGGCCCAGACUCCUACGGGGGGCAGCAGUAGGGAAUCUUCGGCAAUGGGCGGAAGCCUGACCGAGCGACGCCGCGUGAGGGACGAAGGGCCUUCGGGUUGUAAACCUCUGUCUGGGGGACGAGUAAGGAGGUACCCCCGGAGGAAGCCCCGGCUAACUACGUG